This 463-nucleotide ribosomal RNA is filed under the name Vreelandella stevensii. RNAcentral's name for it is "partial 16S ribosomal RNA". It matches the Rfam family "Bacterial small subunit ribosomal RNA", at positions 338 to 795 of the family's 1533-position model. The record is from RNAcentral. Lineage: Bacteria; Pseudomonadati; Pseudomonadota; Gammaproteobacteria; Oceanospirillales; Halomonadaceae.
CCUACGGGAGGCUGCAGUGGGGAAUAUUGGACAAUGGGGGGAACCCUGAUCCAGCCAUGCCGCGUGUGUGAAGAAGGCCCUCGGGUUGUAAAGCACUUUCAGUGAGGAAGAACGCCUGGUGGUUAAUACCCAUCAGGAAAGACAUCACUCACAGAAGAAGCACCGGCUAACUCCGUGCCAGCAGCCGCGGUAAUACGGAGGGUGCGAGCGUUAAUCGGAAUUACUGGGCGUAAAGCGCGCGUAGGUGGCUUGAUAAGCCGGUUGUGAAAGCCCCGGGCUCAACCUGGGAACGGCAUCCGGAACUGUCAAGCUAGUGCAGGAGAGGAAGGUAGAAUUCCCGGUGUAGCGGUGAAAUGCGUAGAGAUCGGGAGGAAUACCAGUGGCGAAGGAGGCCUUCUGGACUGACACUGACACUGCGGUGCGAAAGCGUGGGUAGCAAACAGGAAUAGAUACCCUAGUAGUC